Molecule: long non-coding RNA, 485 nt
Filed under: Homo sapiens (human)
Lineage: Eukaryota; Metazoa; Chordata; Mammalia; Primates; Hominidae
Description: HSALNT0340393
Source: RNAcentral
UGAACUUCAGGGGUGAGGUGGGCUGUUAGGACCUUCUGGGGUGGAGAAAUGAUUUCGCAGAAGCCCUCUAGACUAAAUAAAACUCAGGAAAUAUCUGCUUUCCCUGAGUUUCUUUCAGGGACAUCGAGCGAGGCAGGUGUUCCACCCCACUUUCUUGUUUGAGGGGAGAAGGAAACCAAAGCCAGUAGAAAUGGAAUUUAUGGCCUCCGUGCUCUCAGAGGGAGAAAAAAAUUCUCACUCAUCAGCCUAAAGAGAAACCCUGUCUUAUCCCAGAUUACCACCAUGGGAUUUAAAAUUCAGUGAGAAGACUGCUUGGGAAAUACUGUCUCCGAACUGCCGGUACAGACACUGCCCAUUGGUACAAUAUUUUUAGGUCAUCUGUCAAUUGCCAUGUUUGCAUUUCUUUCAUGCAAUACAAGUUGAAAUCAUAAUGAAUUUCUUGAGUUUCAGGAAUAUCUCAAAAUAAACUUCUUCAUCCUCAACAA